AUUGAACGCUGGCGGCAGGCCUAACACAUGCAAGUCGAACGAGUGGCGGACGUGUGAGUAAUGUCUGGGAAACUGCCUGAUGGAGGGGGAUAACUACUGGAAACGGUAGCUAAUACCGCAUACCAUCAGAUGUGCCCAGAUGGGAUUAGCUUGUUGGUGGGGUAACGGCUCACCAAGGCGACGAUCCCUAGCUGGUCUGAGAGGAUGAUCAGACACACUGGGACUGAGACACGGGCCAGACUCCUACGGGAGGCAGCAGUGGGGAAUAUUGCACAAUGGGCGCAAGCCUGAUGCAGCCAUGCCGCGUGUAUGAAGAAGGCCUUCGGGUUGUAAAGUACUUGCAGCGGGGAGGCGUUACCCGCAGAAGAAGCACCGGCUAACUCCGUGCCAGCAGCCGCGGUAAUUC
RNAcentral lists this ribosomal RNA (406 nucleotides) under uncultured bacterium. RNAcentral describes it as "partial 16S ribosomal RNA". It matches the Rfam family "Bacterial small subunit ribosomal RNA", at positions 30 to 526 of the family's 1533-position model. The record is from RNAcentral.